AUACCAUGAUGAGGGCACUUCCUUAACAGGUCUUUAAAUCUCUCUCAUGCAUCAUAAAGCAAUUCUCCUUCAGUUUGGUAGAAAUUAUUAAUUUCCCCUCUCAACUU
This is a small nucleolar RNA of Humulus lupulus (European hop), 107 nucleotides long. The record is from RefSeq and is a predicted model, not a curated record. Lineage: Eukaryota; Viridiplantae; Streptophyta; Magnoliopsida; Rosales; Cannabaceae.